Molecule: ribosomal RNA, 526 nt
Filed under: uncultured bacterium
Lineage: Bacteria
Description: bacterial SSU rRNA
Rfam family: Bacterial small subunit ribosomal RNA
Source: RNAcentral
AGUAAAUAGAUACCCGGGUAGUCCACGCCGUAAACGAUGUCGACUUGGAGGUUGUGCCCUUGAGGCGCGGCUUCCGGAGCUAAACGCGUUAAAGUCGACCGCCUGGGGAGUACGGCCGCAAGGUUAAAACUCAAAUGAAUUGGACGGGGGCCCGCACAAGCGGUGGAGCAUGUGGUUUAAUUCGAUGCAACGCGAAGAACCUUACCUACUCUUGACAUCCAGAGAACUUAGCAGAGAUGCUUUGGUGCCUUCGGGAACUCUGAGACAGGUGCUGCAUGGCUGUCGUCAGCUCGUGUUGUGAAAUGUUGGGUUAAGUCCCGCAACGAGCGCAACCCUUAUCCUUUGUUGCCAGCGGUUAGGCCGGGAACUCAAAGGAGACUGCCAGUGAUAAACUGGAGGAAGGUGGGGAUGACGUCAAGUCAUCAUGGCCCUUACGAGUAGGGCUACACACGUGCUACAAUGGCGCAUACAAAGAGAAGCGACCUCGCGAGAGCAAGCGGACCUCAUAAAGUGCGUCGUAGUCCGG